UGGCGAUAUAGCUCAGUUGGCAGAGCAAACGGCUCAUAUCCGUUCGGUCGUAGGUUCAAUCCCUACUGUCGCUAA
RNAcentral lists this transfer RNA (75 nucleotides) under Treponemataceae bacterium. Its description in RNAcentral is "tRNA-Met". It matches the Rfam family "tRNA". Rfam says of the family: Transfer RNA (tRNA) molecules are approximately 80 nucleotides in length. Their secondary structure includes four short double-helical elements and three loops (D, anti-codon, and T loops). The record is from RNAcentral. Lineage: Bacteria; Pseudomonadati; Spirochaetota; Spirochaetia; Treponematales; Treponemataceae.